RNAcentral lists this ribosomal RNA (487 nucleotides) under uncultured bacterium. RNAcentral describes it as "bacterial SSU rRNA". It matches the Rfam family "Bacterial small subunit ribosomal RNA", at positions 28 to 507 of the family's 1533-position model. The record is from RNAcentral.
GAUGAACGCUGGCGGCGUGCUUAACACAUGCAAGUCGAACGAAGCUACUUUAUUUGAUUUUCUUCGGAAAUGAAGAUUUUGUGACUGAGUGGCGGACGGGUGAGUAACGCGUGGAUAAUCUGCCUUUCAGAGGGGGAUAACGAUUGGAAACGAUCGCUAAUACCGCAUAACGUAUUUUGAGGGCAUCCUUAAAAUACCAAAGGAGCAAUCCGCUGAAAGAUGAGCUCGCGUCUGAUUAGAUAGUUGGUGAGGUAACGGCCCACCAAGUCGACGAUCAGUAGCCGGACUGAGAGGUUGAACGGCCACAUUGGGACUGAGAUACGGCCCAGACUCCUACGGGAGGCAGCAGUGGGGAAUAUUGGGCAAUGGGGGAAACCCUGACCCAGCAACGCCGUGUGAAGGAAGAAGGCUUUCGGGUUGUAAACUUCUUUUACCAGGGACGAAGGACGUGACGGUACCUGGAGAAAAAGCCACGGCUAACUACGUG